Molecule: non-coding RNA, 3048 nt
Organism: Nylanderia fulva
Lineage: Eukaryota; Metazoa; Arthropoda; Insecta; Hymenoptera; Formicidae
Source: RefSeq, a predicted model, not a curated record
CAAGUGAGACGCGACCGUUUCUUCACCGACUCGCGAAAACUUGUCGCGCGUCGCGAAUCGUCCGAAUUAUCGAGAAUCGGGGAAGAAAGGUAAGAAAUAUUCGCGAAAAUAGUAAUAUUAGAUCGAGAUGUUGUUUGUCGAAUGAGGGUGCAAUGAUUCUCAACAAGUACGCGCUCAAAUUACUGCUUCAAUAGUCGCGAAAUUUUUUUAGCAACAUUGUCGCCAUAUUUUCUUCCGCCACUGCAAUAUCAUGUCGUAUCGCGAAUCAUCUGAAUUAUCGAGAAUCGGGGAAGAAAGGUAAGAAAUAUUCGCGAAAAUAGUAAUAUUAGAUUGAGAUGCUGUUUGUCAAAUCGAGAUGCAAUGAUUUUUAGCGAGUACGCGAUCUAAUUUUAUUGCUACAAUAAUCGUGUAUUUUUUUACUCUACAACAAUCGCCAUCUCUCUUCUCCCAUCGCAAGCAUGUCGCGAAAAGUCUUAUGACUUCAAGUACGACGCCAUUGUUUCUUCACGGUUGUCGGAAAAGUAUUGUCGCGUCGUGAAUCGUCCGAAUUAUCGAGAAUCCGGGAAGAAAGGUGAGAAAUAUUCGCGAAAACAGUAAUAUUAGAUCGAGACGUUGUUUGUCGAAUGGAGGUGCAUUGAUUUUUGGUGAGUACGCGAUCAAAUCGCUACUUCAAGAGUCGUGAAUUUUUUUUUUUCACUUUGCAACAAUCGCCAUCUCUCUUCCCCCAUCUCAAUCAUGUCGCGAUAAGUCUAUGCAAUCUCAAGUCAGACGCCAUUGUUUCUUCAACGGUUCCCGGAAACUUGUCGUGUGUCGCGAAUCGUCCGAAUUAUCGAGAAUCAGGGAAGAAAGGUGAGAAAUAUUCGCGAAAAUAGUAAUAUUAGAUCGAGACGUUGUUUGUCGAAUGAAGGUGCAUUGAUUUUUGGUGAGUACGCGAUCAAAUUAUUGCUCUAAUAAUCGUGUAUUUUUUUGCAACAAUCGCUAUCUCUCUUUCCCCAUCGCAAUCAUGUCGCGCGAUCUACUUCAAAUAAGACGCCGUUGUUUCUUCAGCGGUUCUCGGAAACUUGUCGCGUCGCGAAUCGUCCGAAUUAUCGAGAAUCCGGGAAGAAAAGUGAGAAAAUAGUGAUAUUAGAUCGAGAUGUUUGUCGAAUCGAGGUGCAGUGGUUCUUCGCGAGUACACGAUCAAAUUAUUACUUCAAUAAUCAUGAAUUUUUGUAACCUGCAGCGCCACCUUUCUUCCCCAAUCUCAAGUGAUAAGUGAAACUCACUUUACGUGAGACGCGGCGGUUUAUCGGUUCGCGAAAACUUUUCUCGCGCGCGUGAAAAGUUUUGAGAAGUGUUUGUGAAGUGUUGUGAGAUAUAAAAAUAAAAAUAUAAAGUGUGAAAAAAAGUGAAGUGUCCUUUUUGGGAUUACCAUUGGAUUACCAUAUUGGAUUACUAUUGGAUUACUAUUGGAUUUCGUUUGGCUCGAACCGCGAUGAUAAACUUGCUGCGUACUACACUCCGGCAUUCGUGAAUAUCGGUAGCAUGAUAAGCCGCGCGCGAACGCUUUGACUGCUAGAUUCUCGAGUGUCGAACGGAUGUUGUUUCGUGCGAUUAUAGUUUUUUCUAUUUCACGCGUCGUGUCGGGAAUGCCGUGCAAAGUUUCGCGCGUCGAGAGUACCGCGUAAAAUGUCGGACGAUCGUAAUUAUUCGUGUCUUCGCGAGUAUCGUGAGUGCUACCAAGAGAGGAGGAGGAGGCCCAGGGAGGCAUCAGGCGACGUCGGGACAACUAUGAGAUCAACGUGCUACUCCGCUAUUGCGCCAGUCGACGAAAAAUCUCCUUCAUUGACUUGCGUAACCGAGGAGAUAAGGGACCUCGGAUAAAGGAUCCGCGUUCAGAAAAAUCGUUUCGCACACCGACUUAUCGGGAGCAUCUUAUCGGGAGCAUCUUGCGCGACAAUGGAACAGUUUCGUUGGAAAAUGGGAGAAAAGUGUGGAGGAGAGCAACGUCUCUCUGACAGGUUUCUGGCGUGGAUCAACGAUCCGCGAAGUCUUUACAAUGCACUCCUUGCACUUAUCCAAUGUGUCACGGCGAGAAAGAAUGAGGGACUCUCUCCUUGGAGCUCCACGGAUCUCGAAAAGACCAAAACAUAAACCACGCGCAGCGUCCGUACAAUAUGCCCUACUAGCUGCUCCGCCCUUUCGUCCCAUCGCCCUCGAUCCACCGCCACCUCCAUUCGCAGCGUUCUCUUGGAAGAGACACAAAGCCAGGCCAGAGUUAUCUUGAUGAACCCUAAGUACUACAAGACCUAUUUGGAGGAGAGAUAGGUUCCGGAGUGGGGAUACGAGAGGGUGGACAGAGAGCGGGGUCGCACAAUGAAGAAAAGAAUAAGGUAGAAGACCCGCGAGAGAUGGAGAAAGAGAGAGAGAGAGAGAGGGACAAGAGUCCAUCCACCUUGGAAAAGAGAUCUUUCACGGUUGUCGAUGCCACUGUGAUAAGGAACGGCAUUCUCCGCUGCUACUCUUUUACUACCACCGUCGCUAUAUUGCCUCGUCGCUGCUGUGCGCAGCUUUCUCGUCGCUUCAACCGAUCGGUGACAAACCACUUCGCGAAAUGCCUUUUUUCCCCCGAGACAUAGAGAAGGCCGUGUAUCAAAAGCCAAGGAAUGCGCUUCUACUACUUUCGAUCGUCGCUUUAAACGGACGUUAAAUAGAUGCUGACGAAGCACGUUUUGCAAGGUGAACAUUUUAUGUGCGAUUCGGACGUUUGCUCUUAAUCAUAUACAGACGAAUGAAGAAAAAGAACGUGUAACACCGUGUUUUUCUUCACGCACAUAUAUAAUUUGUUCGGAAAAACCACGGUGAUUAAUUAACGAUUUUAGGUUUUUUUACACGACCUAAGACGCCGAGGUAUUUCAACGAGUGUUUCUUUCUCUUUUUCUCAUCGCAGAGCGACCAUUCUAUUUAGGAGACAACAAUUAAAAGACGCAUCGUUAUUCUUCUAGUCAAUUAUUUACAAGCAUCUGUCAAUAAAAUAUUUUAAAUUGUCGGCAAGAAAAAUGCGUUAAA